RNAcentral lists this long non-coding RNA (345 nucleotides) under Betula platyphylla (Asian white birch). Its description in RNAcentral is "RNA28068.1". The record is from RNAcentral. Lineage: Eukaryota; Viridiplantae; Streptophyta; Magnoliopsida; Fagales; Betulaceae.
CUCUCUUUCACUCUUUCACUAUUCCUCAUAAAAAAUAGGGCUCUUGGGGUCUACUGAGAGAAAUGACCACCAGCACAUGAUCGGCGGCUGAGCGAGAAGAUGGAAGCAAAAGAGUGAGCCAACACCACCGCUAUGCCCACCUUCACCUGGCCCCUCUUGGGAAUCGGACGGCCAGAAAACCUCGAGGACGGAGACAAGCCUCCGCCGUUGAUCAUAGCAACACUCCUAGCACCUGCCAUCUAUCUUCUUCUUUUUUCUUUCCCUUGAUGAUCUUUUCGAAGAUCCAAAUUCGGACAGCGAAGGUUGUUGGGAGUAGUAGUAGUGAUGAGUCUCUUUUAGUUGUGG